UAGAUGUUGAAAACGGUCUGUGUUCCGAA
This 29-nucleotide small RNA is filed under the name Bombyx mori (domestic silkworm). RNAcentral describes it as "piRNA piR-bmo-1749546". Lineage: Eukaryota; Metazoa; Arthropoda; Insecta; Lepidoptera; Bombycidae. The record is from RNAcentral.